ACGCUCGACACCUACGGGGGCAGCAGUGAGGAAUAUUGGUCAAUGGGCGCUAGCCUGAACCAGCCAAGUAGCGUGAAGGAUGAAGGCUCUAUGGGUCGUAAACUUCUUUUAUAUAAGAAUAAAGUGCAGUAUGUAUACUGUUUUGUACGUAUUAUAUGAAUAAGGAUCGGCUAACUCCGUGCCCGCAGCCGCGGUAAUCUGAGCGGGCUGGCAAGGC
This 217-nucleotide ribosomal RNA is filed under the name uncultured bacterium. RNAcentral's name for it is "partial 16S ribosomal RNA". It matches the Rfam family "Bacterial small subunit ribosomal RNA", at positions 328 to 539 of the family's 1533-position model. The record is from RNAcentral.